ACGGAGAGUUUGAUCCUGGCUCAGGACGAACGCUGGCGGCGUGCUUAACACAUGCAAGUCGAACGGUGACCUCGGAGGCUUGCUCCGGGCGAUCAGUGGCGAACGGGUGAGUAACACGUGAGUAACCUGCCCCUGGCUCUGGGAUAACCUCGGGAAACCGAAGCCAAUACCGGAUACGACACAGACAGGCAUCUGUACUGUGUGGAAAGUUUUUCGGCUAGGGAUGGACUCGCGGCCUAUCAGGCUUGUUGGUGGGGUAAUGGCCUACCAAGGCGACGACGGGUAGCCGGCCUGAGAGGGCGACCGGCCACACUGGGACUGAGACACGGCCCAGACUCCUACGGGAGGCAGCAGUGGGGAAUAUUGCGCAAUGGGCGAAAGCCUGACGCAGCGACGCCGCGUGAGGGAUGAAGGCCUUCGGGUUGUAAACCUCUUUCAGCAGGGAAGAAGCGAAAGUGACGGUACCUGCAGAAGAAGCACCGGCUAACUACGUGCCAGCAGCCGCGGUAAUACGUAGGGUGCAAGCGUUGUCCGGAAUUAUUGGGCGUAAAGAGCUCGUAGGCGGUCUGUCGCGUCUGCUGUGAAAACCCAGGGCUUAACCCUGGGCCUGCAGUGGGUACGGGCAGACUAGAGUGCGGUAGGGGAGAUCGGAAUUCCUGGUGUAGCGGUGAAAUGCGCAGAUAUCAGGAGGAACACCGGUGGCGAAGGCGGAUCUCUGGGCCGUAACUGACGCUGAGGAGCGAAAGCAUGGGGAGCGAACAGGAUUAGAUACCCUGGUAGUCCAUGCCGUAAACGUUGGGCGCUAGGUGUGGGGCUCAUUCCACGAGUUCUGUGCCGCAGCAAACGCAUUAAGCGCCCCGCCUGGGGAGUACGGCCGCAAGGCUAAAACUCAAAGGAAUUGACGGGGGCCCGCACAAGCGGCGGAGCAUGCGGAUUAAUUCGAUGCAACGCGAAGAACCUUACCAAGGCUUGACAUACAGGGUAAUCCGGCAGAAACGUCGGGUCCGCAAGGGAUCCUGUACAGGUGGUGCAUGGUUGUCGUCACUCGUGUCGUGAGAUGUUGGGUUAAGUCCCGCAACGAGCGCAACCCUCGUUCUAUGUUGCCAGCGCGUAAUGGCGGGGACUCAUAGGAGACUGCCGGGGUCAACUCGGAGGAAGGUGGGGAUGAGGUCAAAUCAUCAUGCCCCUUAUGUCUUGGGCUUCACGCAUGCUACAAUGGCCGGUACAAAGGGCUGCGAAACCGCAAGGUGGAGCGAAUCCCAAAAACCGGUCUCAGUUCGGAUUGGGGUCUGCAACUCGACCCCAUGAAGUCGGAGUCGCUAGUAAUCGCAGAUCAGCAACGCUGCGGUGAAUACGUUCCCGGGCCUUGUACACACCGCCCGUCAAGUCACGAAAGUCGGUAACACCCGAAGCCGGUGGCCCAACCCUUGUGGAGGGAGCCGUCGAAGGUGGGACUGGCGAUUGGGACUAAGUCGUAACAAGGUAGCCGUACCGGAAGGUGCGGCUGGAUCACCUCCUUU
Molecule: ribosomal RNA, 1520 nt
Filed under: Angustibacter aerolatus
Lineage: Bacteria; Bacillati; Actinomycetota; Actinomycetes; Kineosporiales; Kineosporiaceae
Description: bacterial SSU rRNA
Rfam family: Bacterial small subunit ribosomal RNA
Source: RNAcentral